UUUGUUCACUGGGGUUUAACGAAAAAUAGCUGAGCAGACAGGAACCCUUGCCCUGUAGGUAGUAUGGCAACAUAUACCAUGGUCCAUUCAUUUGCUACCAGAAAACUCAGCACAGACAGGGUGUUUGAGGAAGCCUUGCUUGAAAAACUAACCAAAUGACAGAAAAACUUCAGUUUGGGCUGAGAAGAGCCACAAGUGAAGAAAAUCUGAAAUAAGAGAGGAACAUGAAAGGACAGAAGCACAGCAUAACUGUCCUCUGAGAGGCUCCAUCCAACAGUGGAUCAAAGCAGAUGCUGAGACCCACAGCCAAAAUUCGAUAGAGCUUGGGGAGUCUUAUGGAAGAGUCAGGAGGACAAGAAAUCCACAAGAUCAACAGAGUCAAUUAACCUAGGCUAAUGGGCGAUCACAGAAACUGAACCACCAACCAAAGAGCAUUCAUGGACUGUACCUACAUCCCUCGCACAUAUGUAGCUGAUGGGCAGCUUGGUCCUCAUGUGGGUCCCUUUGCAAUUGGAGCAGGGGCCAGCUCUGACAUGGAUGCAGUUGCCUGCUUUUGGAUCACUUUCCCCUAGCUGGGCUGCCUUGUCUGGCCACAGUGAAAGAAGAUGCACUUAAUCUUGAUGGUUU
Meriones unguiculatus (Mongolian gerbil) is the source of this 627-nucleotide long non-coding RNA. RefSeq lists it as uncharacterized. The transcript has 3 exons. The record is from RefSeq and is a predicted model, not a curated record. Lineage: Eukaryota; Metazoa; Chordata; Mammalia; Rodentia; Muridae.